CUGCGGCUUUCCCUCUGCUUCUCUUUCCCCCUCCUGCUCUCCCUCGUCUCCCCCCUCUUCGGAGCGCUGGCGGCUUCCUCUGGGGGUUCUGCAGGGAGGGCGGAGGGCGUGGGUGUGUCACACUGAGGAGGAGGCCGCCUGCUGGGUGCAGGCAGGGGUCUUGGCUGGCUUCCUUUUGCAUCCGAGAACUCGAGAACUUGGGCAAUGCAGGACCCCGUCAUGGCUGCCGUCAAGAGCAUCCCAGUCGUGUCCUAGAAAUAAUCCAGCACCUUCGGGGCCAGAAGCGUGCUGACCUUGAGCUUUGGAUUCUAGUGAGAAAGGUGACCUGGUAUGCUUCAGAGGUCCCCAGGCCCCAGUAGUCAGGGACUGCUUAUGCAUCAACUGGGUUCAUCCUUUGUGGGAAAAGACAGAUUUGGUUGUGGCAGGACUUCCUUAGGAGGACUCUACUUGGAAUAAUGGUUGAAUAAAGGGAAGGUCAAAAUUCAAUUCACCUCUUGUGAAAGUGGGGACUUGCGCCCCAUGCUUGGUCCCCAGGGACGGUCACGAGGCUUAGGUGUGCCUGUUUAUGGCGGAGCACCUCACCGAGGUGGGAGAGCCCUGGACCAGUCCCCUGGAAUCCCAGAUUCAGGUCGUACUUGCAAGGAACUGUGUAGUGGGUGCCCUCCUAUGCCCUGGGCUUCCAUUUUUCUUUUCCUCCCCAAAGAGUUGUGCAGAUCUUCUGAAAUCGCCUAGUGAAAGAAUUUUGAAAUGUGUUCAUGGCACUCCAGGUUCCGGGGGUGAUAUUUUGAAGCCGCUUCUUUAUCAGGAACAUGCUUUAUUCUUCUCUCAAGUAUAACCGGACUCUUGAGUUAUUGUGAUCAAUUACCUGGAGACCCAGGUUGUUUGCUAUUAGAAGGCAAGUCUGGGCCUUUGCCGCGUUGCUUUCAGCAAUGUUCAGGUAUGUUGGCUGAGAAGGUUCCUCUCCCUGGUGUGGAAGUCAGUGUGGUAGCUAUAAAUAGCUAUUAUUUAAUGGUUGGCCCAGUUAAAGACCGAGGAGCUCAUGUGUUCUAGCUGGUCACGAAGAGCCAAGGAAUCCCAAACUGGUAGGCUUGCCUAAACCAUGAAGUGUAUAAAAUAAACAAAUCAAAGGCCAGACCCCACAGGUAGCUGUUCUUUUUGUUCCCAGUCCAGCCAGGGUGGAAGCCGGGAAAGGGAAGGUUUCUUUGGCCCAGCACACACGUUUACGCUAUCAAUCCACCUGUGUGUCCAUGAACAUCUGAUAAAUAAGGGAGGAGUCUCGUUGACUGUAACCAGGACGUUGGAUGGCCGAGGACGCCAUCAGGCUUCUUGAAGAGUCCUUGUUGGCUGGGGUUGGAGGAAGGUAGGGCGCUGACGUCCCAUUUGUGAUUGAUUAAAACUGUACCCGACCCUUAGGUUACCCACUGGCUUUGAGAAAACAGCAAAAACGCCUUUUUAAGGAGUCUUGACCUUUUAAAAUUUUGUUUUAAAAGAAAACGGUGUCUUCAGGGGAGGCAUCCUGUGUGGUGGGAAGGGGUUGGAUGCCGUCUAAGGGGCCGAGGGGACCUUGGACCAGCCAGUCCUUCUGGGCUGUAGUUGGGCAUCGUCAGAACAUUUCUUAGGGCAGUCUUGUGUUAUUCCUUAGUGACAGCCAAACAUGUGCACAAAACUGCUUUGGAAACUCAUCAGCUCUCUACAAAAGGGAGAUGUUAUUUAAAAAAGUCAUUAGGUGGGCGCUUGUUCAGUGACCUAUUUGGUAUCUACUCUGGGGUUGCUGUGGACUUAACGCUGUUUCUGACCAGCAGGUUGUUGAAGAAGCCGGGAGCAGGGGUGGUUUCUGGGUCCAGGUCUGGUAGCAAGUAAUUUAAGUGGCCUGGCCCCUCAUUUGUUGUUGUUGUUGUUGUUGUUUGUUUUUUCAAUCUGGAGAGAUCCUGCCUUUCUCAUAGGGAUUAUGAAAAAAAAAAAAGUAUUAAAAAAAAAAAGGAAAAAUACCAAAAAAACCAAUGAGGU
Molecule: long non-coding RNA, 2007 nt
Organism: Mustela erminea (ermine)
Lineage: Eukaryota; Metazoa; Chordata; Mammalia; Carnivora; Mustelidae
Exons: 2
Source: RefSeq, a predicted model, not a curated record